UCUGUUUUAGUUACUUAUUCCUGCAUAACAUUGCAUAACAAAUUGCCCUCAAACUUAGAUGCUUAAAAUAAGAAUUAGCAUUUAUUAUCUCAUACAGUUCCUGUGGGUCAGGAAUUCGAGAGUGGAUUAGCCGGUUGGCUCUGCUUCAGGAUCUCAUGUGAGUUCACAGUCAAGCUGUUGACGGGGGCUCCAGUCAUCUGAAGGCUUGACAGGGACUGGAGGAUCCACUUCCAAGUUGCUGCUGGCUGUUGUCAGGAAGCCUCAGUUCUUCCUUAUGUGGACUUCUCCACAGGACUGCUGAGUGGCCUCAUAACAUUGCAGCUGGCUUUCCUCAGAGCAAGUGAUCUACUAGAGGGUUCAGCUUGGAAGUCCAGAAGGGCCUAGUGACUCCUUUACGGGCAGAAUCCAGUUUUCAGAGACUUGUGAAGUUGCGGCAUCCAAUCACUGUGCGUGUCUGUGUUUUCCUCAUCGUUCGCUUCAGAAAAUAUUCUCUCCCUUCCAUUUAAAAAUAUUUAGUCCUAAAAACAAAAGUAAUGUAGGUUCAUUGUGGAAGAUUUAGAAAACAUAGGAAUGCACCCAGAAGAAACUAAAACUCACCAAUUAUCUUACCACCGAGAGAUCAUGCCAUUAAUUUGGUGGAGAAUAGCUGCCAGUCCGUUCUGUAUUCCUUUACGGAAUGUAAAUUCCAAGAGGACAGGGACCUUGUUCACGUCUUGGCUAAUGCUUUGCACAGUAGAUGUGCAGGAGGUAUUCGUUGGCUGAACGAAUAAUAGCUAUGUGUGCAUAAUUUGAAUUGAAUUAGGUUGUC
Molecule: long non-coding RNA, 808 nt
Organism: Loxodonta africana (African savanna elephant)
Lineage: Eukaryota; Metazoa; Chordata; Mammalia; Proboscidea; Elephantidae
Exons: 3
Source: RefSeq, a predicted model, not a curated record